RNAcentral lists this ribosomal RNA (372 nucleotides) under uncultured organism. Its description in RNAcentral is "bacterial SSU rRNA". It matches the Rfam family "Bacterial small subunit ribosomal RNA", at positions 526 to 896 of the family's 1533-position model. The record is from RNAcentral.
CGUAGGUGGCAAGCGUUGUCCGGAAUUACUGGGUGUAAAGGGCGUGUAGGCGGGAAUGUAAGUCAGAUGUGAAAUCCCAGGGCUUAACCUUGGAGCUGCAUCUGAAACUAUGUUUCUUGAGUGCCGGAGAGGAUAGCGGAAUUCCUAGUGUAGCGGUGAAAUGCGUAGAUAUUAGGAGGAACACCAGUGGCGAAGGCGGCUAUCUGGACGGUAACUGACGCUGAGGCGCGAAAGCGUGGGGAGCAAACAGGAUUAGAUACCCUGGUAGUCCACGCUGUAAACGAUGGAUACUAGGUGUAGGGGGUAUCGACCCCCCCUGUGCCGCAGUUAACACAAUAAGUAUCCCACCUGGGGAGUACGGCCGCAAGGUUG